ACCACAAUAUACGCUUAACAGCAGCACCCAUGGGUCAACCCCUGUACGGGUGCACAAAAUUACUUUAAUUCACACGCUUCUACUAAAGUCUUUGAGGUUCAGUGUCUUGCCCAAGGACGCUUUGACGCAUGGGCGAGCAAGGCGGGAAUCGAACCUGUAAUCUUCAGAUCAAGAGUCGACUCCCCUACUGCUGCACCAUAGCCGCCUGUAUGGCUAUGACAAAUAACUUGCACGACAGUAGCUGUAACCCCACUAUGCCAUUCUCCACUUUUCUGUUCUCUUCAUCACAACGUUCCAUUUGGUAGGAGUACAAAUGUAUUCACCAAGCAAAUGACCUGAUAAUUGUAGUACUUAAAGGUUCCAUGAAGAACAGAUGGUGAAGUCUUUGGGCAAUGAGUUCCUGAAUAAUGAAGGGCGUACAGGAAGCUGGCAUCAAAAUGAAAAUAAGGGGAGUACAAAGUAGAAGAUAUGUAAAUGAACAACCUUACUUUGGAAUUGCUUUCAUGGUCUCUGAAAUUUGAUGCUCCUUUGUUGUCAGACAUUUGAAGAUGUGAAGCAAAUCUUAUUUAUGUUUACUCCUUGGCUCAUAUUACAAAUCAAACUGCUGUGCACAUGGAACCACUCAUUCAUUUGGGAAAGACCCCUUUUAAGUACAAAAAAGGCUACUUAAUCAGCUCGGCCCACACACUCAGUCCCUCAGGCUGAUAUUAUAGCUAACCUGUUUCAGUCAUUACUCCAGCUCACUCGACUUUCUGGUUAUUUGGAAAAAACAACGCUGUUCAACCACUACAUUUUUGAAACUUUUUGUUGUUGUGUCACUCCUGUUCUCUUUCAUUGAAUCAAAUCAAUUGUAUCAUCAAAAAUAAUCUGCUGCAAAUGGUAUUCUAGUAUGCGUGGGAUGUUCCUUAUGACAUGGCAGUGUAGCAGAGAACAACCCAGUGCCUUUGUGGACCAAUCAAAUGUCUGUCAGGAAGAGGCACUGAUACACAACUCAAGAUAAGCCUGUUGAUCACAAACAUGACUGUCAUUUCAACGGGACUUGGCCUUGAGACCCAUUCCAAUGAAAAAUUUGUUUUUAACAUGUAGCAUGAUGGAGGAGGACACAUAUAAAGAUAAUAGCGCUCAAAAUUGCGUUUCAGAGUAUUUCUUUGUUGUGAAUCAUGAGCAGACAAAAAAAAAAA
Oryzias melastigma (Indian medaka) is the source of this 1181-nucleotide long non-coding RNA. RefSeq lists it as uncharacterized. The transcript is spliced from 2 exons. Lineage: Eukaryota; Metazoa; Chordata; Actinopteri; Beloniformes; Adrianichthyidae. The record is from RefSeq and is a predicted model, not a curated record.